GUAUAAGGGCUUCUUUAGCCCUCUGGAUGAAAGCAGCCAAUUUUUUCAUAUUCUUCAAAGAUAAUAUAUCCUGUGAAACACUGAAAUGAGACACUCAUAACACGUGAACUGAAUGAACCAUAGAUGAACUGAAGAGGUUUCUUGGAUGAGAAGUGAAACAUUUUCAAGAAAAAACUAAGAAAGUACACUUGUCUUUUGAAAAGCACCUUUGGUUCAGCCAUGACCUGGAUGAUUGAGAAUCUCCACAGACAUGUGAACCGAAUAUAAUGCUGGUAUCAGUGCAAAUAGGAGGAGGAAUGAAUAUUAUAGAUGCAACCAUGGUGUGGUUGUCAGCAUGGGUUAUUCAUAAAAUGAAGGUGGAAGGAAAGAAAGAUUAAAGCUGUUCAAUCUGCCCCACAA
Molecule: long non-coding RNA, 399 nt
Organism: Pantherophis guttatus
Lineage: Eukaryota; Metazoa; Chordata; Lepidosauria; Squamata; Colubridae
Source: RefSeq, a predicted model, not a curated record